UACAGAGGGUGCGAGCGUUAAUCGGAAUUACUGGGCGUAAAGCGCGCGUAGGCGGCUUUGCAAGUCGGGUGUGAAAUCCCCAGGCUUAACCUGGGAACUGCAUUCGAGACUGCAUUGCUAGAGUAUGGGAGAGGGAAGUGGAAUUUCUGGUGUAGCAGUGAAAUGCGUAGAUAUCAGAAGGAACAUCAGUGGCGAAGGCGGCUUCCUGGACCAAUACUGACGAUCAGGUGCGAAAGCGUGGGGAGCAAACAGG
RNAcentral lists this ribosomal RNA (253 nucleotides) under uncultured bacterium. Its description in RNAcentral is "partial 16S ribosomal RNA". It matches the Rfam family "Bacterial small subunit ribosomal RNA", at positions 524 to 776 of the family's 1533-position model. The record is from RNAcentral.